GUGUCUUGGCUAAGGUGUCUUGGCUAAGGUGUCUUGGCUAAGGUGUCUUGGCUAAUGUGUCUCGGCUAAGGUGUCUUGGCUAAGGUGUCUCGGCUAAGGUGUCUUGGCUAAUGUGUCUCGGCUAAAGUGUCUUGGCUAAGGUGUCUUGGCUAAGGUGUCUUGGCUAAUGUGUCUCGGCUAAAGUGUCUCGGCUAAGGUGUCUUGGCUAUUGUGUCUUGGCUAAGGUGUCUUGGCUAAGGUGUCUUGGCUAAGGUGUCUUGGCUAAGGUGUCUUGGCUAAGGUGUCUUGGCUAGGGUGUCUUGGCUAAGGUGUCUUGGCUAAGGUGUCUUGGCUAAUGUGUCUCGGCUAAUGUGUCUUGGCUGAUGUGUCUUGGCUAAUGUGUCUUGGCUAAUGUGUCUUGGCUAAGGUGUCUUGGCUAAUGUGUCUUGGCUAAGGUGUCUUGGCUAAGGUGUCUUGGCUAAGGUGUCUUGGCUAAGGUGUCUUGGCUAGGGUGUCUUGGCUAAGGUGUCUUGGCUAAGGUGUCUUGGCUAAUGUGUCUCGGCUAAAGUGUCUUGGCUAAGGUGUCUUGGCUAAUGUGUCUUGGCGAAAGUGUCUUGGCUAAGGUGUCUUGGCUAAUGUGUCUUGGCUAAUGUGUCUCGGCUAAGGUGUCUUGGCUAUUGUGUCUUGGCUAAGGUGUCUUGGCUAAGGUGUCUUGGCUAAGGUGUCUUGGCUAAUGUGUCUUGGCUAAGGUGUCCUGGCUAAGGUGUCUUGGCUAAGGUGUCUUGGCUAAUGUGUCUCGGCUAAAGUGUCUCGGCUAAGGUGUCUUGGCUAAGGUGUCUUGGCUAAUGUGUCUUGGCUAAGGUGUCUCGGCUAAGGUGUCUUGGCUAUUGUGUCUUGGCUAAGGUGUCUUGGCUAAGGUGUCUUGGCUAAGGUGUCUUGGCUAAUGUGUCUCGGCUAAAGUGUCUUGGCUAAGGUGUCUCGGCUAAAGUGUCUUGGCUAAGGUGUCUUGGCUAAGGUGUCUUGGCUAAUGUGUCUUGGCUAAGGUGUCUCGGCUAAGGUGUCUUGGCUAAGGUGUCUUGGCUAAGGUGUCUUGGCUAAGGUGUCUUGGCUAAGGUGUCUUGGCUAAGGUGUCUUGGCUAAUGUGUCUCGGCUAAUGUGUCUCGGCUAAAGUGUCUUGGCUAAGGUGUCUCGGCUAAAGUGUCUUGGCUAAGGUGUCUUGGCUAAGGUGUCUCGGCUAAUGUGUCUUGGCUAAGGUGUCUUGGCUAAGGUGUCUUGGCUAAGGUGUCUUGGCUAAUGUGUCUCGGCUAAAGUGUCUUGGCUAAGGUGUCUCGGCUAAGGUGUCUUGGCUAAUGUGUCUCGGCUAAAGUGUCUUGGCUAAGGUGUCUUGGCUAAGGUGUCUUGGCUAAUGUGUCUCGGCUAAAGUGUCUCGGCUAAGGUGUCUUGGCUAUUGUGUCUUGGCUAAGGUGUCUUGGCUAAGGUGUCUUGGCUAAUGUGUCUUGGCUAAGGUGUCUUGGCUAAUGUGUCUUGGCUAAGGUGUCUUGGCUGAUGUGUCUUGGCUAAUGUGUCUUGGCUAAGGUGUCUUGGCUAAUGUGUCUCGGCUAAUGUGUCUUGGCUAAGGUGUCUUGGCUAUUGUGUCUUGGCUAAGGUGUCUUGGCUAAUGUGUCUCGGCUAAUGUGUCUUGGCUAAGGUGUCUUGGUCAAGGUGUCUUGGCUAAUGUGUCUUGGCUAAUGUGUCUUGGCUAAGGUGUCUUGGCUAAGGUGUCUUGGCUAAUGUGUCUUGGCUAAAGUGUCUUGGCUAAUGUGUCUUGGCUAAGUUGUCUUGGCUAAGGUGUCUUGGCUAAGGUGUCUUGGCUAAGGUGUCUUGGCUAAUGUGUCUUGGCUAAGGUGUCUUGGCUAAAGUGUCUUGGCUAAGGUGUCUUGGCUAAUGUGUCUUGGCUAAGGUGUCUUGGCUAAGGUGUCUUGGCUAAGGUGUCUUGGCUAAUGUGUCUCAGCUAAGGUGUCUUGGCUGAUGUGUCUUGGCUAAGGUGUCUUGGCUAAGGUGUCUUGGCUAAGGUGUCUUGGCUAAUGUGUCUCGGCUAAAGUGUCUUGGCUAAGGUGUCUUGGCUAAGGUGUCUUGGCUAAGGUGUCUUGGCUAAGGUGUCUCGUCUAAGGUGUCUUGGCUAAGGUGUCUUGGCUAAGGUGUCUUGGCUAAUGUGUCUUGGCUAAGGUGUCUUGGCUAAUGUGUCUUGGCUAAGGUGUCUUGGCUAAGGUGUCUUGGCUAAUGUGUCUCGUCUAAGGUGUCUUGGCUAAGGUGUCUUGGCUAAGGUGUCUUGGCUAAGGUGUCUUGGCUAAUGUGUCUUGGCUAAGGUGUCUUGGCUAAGGUGUCUUGGCUAAGGUGUCUUGGCUAAGGUGUCUUGGCUAAGGUGUCUUGGCUAAUGUGUCUUGGCUAAGGUGUCUUGGCUAAGGUGUCUUGGCUAAUGUGUCUCGUCUAAGGUGUCUUGGCUAAGGUGUCUUGGCUAAGGUGUCUUGGCUAAUGUGUCUCGUCUAAGGUGUCUUGGCUAAGGUGUCUUGGCUAAGGUGUCUUGGCUAAGGUGUCUUGGCUAAUGUGUCUCGUCUAAGGUGUCUUGGCUAAGGUGUCUUGGCUAAGGUGUCUUGGCUAUGGUGUCUUGGCUAAGGUGUCUUGGCUAAGGUGUCUUGGCUAAUGUGUCUCGUCUAAGGUGUCUUGGCUAAGGUGUCUUGGCUAAGGUGUCUUGGCUAAGGUGUCUUGGCUAAGGUGUCUUGGCUAAUGUGUCUCGUCUAAGGUGUCUUGGCUAAGGUGUCUUGGCUAAGGUGUCUUGGCUAAUGUGUCUUGGCUAAGGUGUCUCGGCUAAAGUGUCUUGGCUAAUGUGUCUCGGCUAAAGUGUCUUGGCUAAGGUGUCUUGGCUAUGGUGUCUUGGCUAAGGUGUCUUGGCUAAGGUGUCUUGGCUAAUGUGUCUCGUCUAAGGUGUCUUGGCUAAGGUGUCUUGGCUAAGGUGUCUUGGCUAAGGUGUCUUGGCUAAUGUGUCUCGUCUAAGGUGUCUUGGCUAAGGUGUCUUGGCUAAGGUGUCUUGGCUAAGGUGUCUUGGCUAAUGUGUCUUGGCUAAGGUGUCUUGGCUAAGGUGUCUUGGCUAAGGUGUCUUGGCUAAUGUGUCUCGGCUAAAGUGUGUUGGCUAAGGUGUCUUGGCUAAUGUGUCUCGUCUAAGGUGUCUUGGCUAAGGUGUCUUGGCUAAGGUGUCUUGGCUAAUGUGUCUCGGCUAAGGUGUCUUGGCUAAGGUGUCUUGGCUAAUGUGUCUUGGCUAAGGUGUCUUGGCUAAGGUGUCUUGGCUAAGGUGUCUUGGCUAAUGUGUCUUGGCUAAAGUGUCUUGGCUAAGGUGUCUUGGCUAAGGUGUCUUGGCUAAGGUGUCUUGGCUAAGGUGUCUCGUCUAAGGUGUCUUGGCUAAGGUGUCUUGGCUAAGGUGUCUUGGCUAAUGUGUCUUGGCUAAGGUGUCUUGGCUAAUGUGUCUUGGCUAAGGUGUCUUGGCUAAUGUGUCUUGGCUAAAGUGUCUUGGCUAAGGUGUCUUGGCUAAUGUGUCUCGGCUAAAGUGUCUUGGCUAAGGUGUCUUGGCUAAGGUGUCUCGUCUAAGGUGUCUUGGCUAAGGUGUCUUGGCUAAGGUGUCUUGGCUAAGGUGUCUUGGCUAAUGUGUCUCGUCUAAGGUGUCUUGGCUAAGGUGUCUUGGCUAAGGUGUCUUGGCUAAGGUGUCUUGGCUAAUGUGUCUUGGCUAAGGUGUCUUGGCUAAGGUGUCUUGGCUAAGGUGUCUUGGCUAAUGUGUCUCGGCUAAAGUGUCUUGGCUAAGGUGUCUUGGCUAAUGUGUCUCGUCUAAGGUGUCUUGGCUAAGGUGUCUUGGCUAAGGUGUCUUGGCUAUGGUGUCUUGGCUAAGGUGUCUUGGCUAAGGUGUCUUGGCUAAUGUGUCUCGUCUAAGGUGUCUUGGCUAAGGUGUCUUGGCUAAGGUGUCUUGGCUAAGGUGUCUUGGCUAAUGUGUCUCGUCUAAGGUGUCUUGGCUAAGGUGUCUUGGCUAAGGUGUCUUGGCUAAGGUGUCUUGGCUAAGGUGUCUUGGCUAAUGUGUCUUGGCUAAGGUGUCUCGGCUAAAGUGUCUUGGCUAAUGUGUCUCGGCUAAAGUGUCUUGGCUAAGGUGUCUUGGCUAUGGUGUCUUGGCUAAGGUGUCUUGGCUAAGGUGUCUUGGCUAAUGUGUCUCGUCUAAGGUGUCUUGGCUAAGGUGUCUUGGCUAAGGUGUCUUGGCUGAGGUGUCUCGUCUAAGGUGUCUUGGCUAAGGUGUCUUGGCUAAGGUGUCUUGGCUAAUGUGUCUCGGCUAAAGUGUCUUGGCUAAGGUGUCUUGGCUAAUGUGUCUCGUCUAAGGUGUCUUGGCUAAUGUGUCUCGGCUAAAGUGUCUUGGCUAAGGUGUCUCGGCUAAAGUGUCUUGGCUAAGGUGUCUUGGCUAUGGUGUCUUGGCUAAGGUGUCUUGGCUAAGGUGUCUUGGCUAAUGUGUCUCGUCUAAGGUGUCUUGGCUAAGGUGUCUUGGCUAAGGUGUCUUGGCUAAUGUGUCUUGGCUAAGGUGUCUCGGCUAAAGUGUCUUGGCUAAUGUGUCUCGGCUAAAGUGUCUUGGCUAAGGUAUCUUGGCUAUGGUGUCUUGGCUAAGGUGUCUUGGCUAAGGUGUCUUGGCUAAUGUGUCUCGUCUAAGGUGUCUUGGCUAAGGUGUCUUGGCUAAGGUGUCUUGGCUAAGGUGUCUCGUCUAAGGUGUCUUGGCUAAGGUGUCUUGGCUAAGGUGUCUUGGCUAAUGUGUCUCGGCUAAGGUGUCUUGGCUAAGGUGUCUUGGCUAAUGUGUCUUGGCUAAAGUGUCUUGGCUAAGGUGUCUUGGCUAAGGUGUCUUGGCUAAGGUGUCUUGGCUAAGGUGUCUCGUCUAAGGUGUCUUGGCUAAGGUGUCUCGGCUAAGGUGUCUUGGCUAAUGUGUCUUGGCUAAGGUGUCUUGGCUAAUGUGUCUUGGCUAAGGUGUCUUGGCUAAUGUGUCUUGGCUUAAGUGUCUUGGCUAAGGUGUCUUGGCUAAUGUGUCUCGGCUAAAGUGUCUUGGCUAAGGUGUCUUGGCUAAGGUGUCUCGGCUAAAGUGUCUUGGCUAAUGUGUCUCGGCUAAGGUGUCUUGGCUAAGGUGUCUUGGCUAAUGUGUCUUGGCUAAGGUGUCUUGGCUAAGGUGUCUUGGCUAAGGUGUCUUGGCUAAGGUGUCUUGGCUAAGGUGUCUUGGCUAAUGUGUCUUGGCUAAGGUGUCUUGGCUAAGGUGUCUUGGCUAAUGUGUCUCGUCUAAGGUGUCUUGGCUAAGGUGUCUUGGCUAAGGUGUCUUGGCUAAGGUGUCUUGGCUAAGGUGUCUUGGCUAAUGUGUCUCGUCUAAGGUGUCUUGGCUAAGGUGUCUUGGCUAAGGUGUCUUGGCUAAGGUGUCUUGGCUAAGGUGUCUUGGCUAAGGUGUCUUGGCUAAGGUGUCUUGGCUAAGGUGUCUUGGCUAAUGUGUCUCGUCUAAGGUGUCUUGGCUAAGGUGUCUUGGCUAAGGUGUCUUGGCUAAGGUGUCUUGGCUAAUGUGUCUUGGCUAAGGUGUCUCGGCUAAAGUGUCUUGGCUAAUGUGUCUCGGCUAAAGUGUCUUGGCUAAGGUGUCUUGGCUAAUGUGUCUUGGCUAAGGUGUCUUGGCUAAGGUGUCUUGGCUAAUGUGUCUCGUCUAAGGUGUCUUGGCUAAGGUGUCUUGGCUAAGGUGUCUUGGCUAAGGUGUCUUGGCUAAUGUGUCUUGGCUAAGGUGUCUUGGCUAAGGUGUCUUGGCUAAGGUGUCUUGGCUAAGGUGUCUUGGCUAAGGUGUCUUGGCUAAUGUGUCUUGGCUAAGGUGUCUUGGCUAAGGUGUCUUGGCUAAUGUGUCUCGUCUAAGGUGUCUUGGCUAAGGUGUCUUGGCUAAGGUGUCUUGGCUAAUGUGUCUCGUCUAAGGUGUCUUGGCUAAGGUGUCUUGGCUAAGGUGUCUUGGCUAAUGUGUCUCGUCUAAGGUGUCUUGGCUAAGGUGUCUUGGCUAAGGUGUCUUGGCUAAUGUGUCUCGUCUAAGGUGUCUUGGCUAAGGUGUCUUGGCUAAGGUGUCUUGGCUAAGGUGUCUUGGCUAAUGUGUCUUGGCUAAGGUGUCUUGGCUAAGGUGUCUUGGCUAAGGUGUCUUGGCUAAUGUGUCUCGGCUAAAGUGUCUUGGCUAAGGUGUCUUGGCUAAGGUGUCUUGGCUAAGGUGUCUUGGCUAAGGUGUCUCGUCUAAGGUGUCUUGGCUAAGGUGUCUUGGCUAAGGUGUCUUGGCUAAUGUGUCUUGGCUAAGGUGUCUUGGCUAAUGUGUCUUGGCUAAGGUGUCUUGGCUAAUGUGUCUUGGCUAAAGUGUCUUGGCUAAGGUGUCUUGGCUAAUGUGUCUCGGCUAAAGUGUCUUGGCUAAGGUGUCUUGGCUAAGGUGUCUCGGCUAAAGUGUCUUGGCUAAUGUGUCUCGGCUAAGGUGUCUUGGCUAAUGUGUCUCGGCUAAAGUGUCUUGGCUAAUGUGUCUCGGCUAAAGUGUCUUGGCUAAGGUGUCUUGGCUAUGGUGUCUUGGCUAAGGUGUCUUGGCUAAGGUGUCUUGGCUAAUGUGUCUCGUCUAAGGUGUCUUGGCUAAGGUGUCUUGGCUAAGGUGUCUUGGCUAAGGUGUCUUGGCUAAUGUGUCUCGUCUAAGGUGUCUUGGCUAAGGUGUCUUGGCUAAGGUGUCUUGGCUAAGGUGUCUUGGCUAAUGUGUCUUGGCUAAGGUGUCUUGGCUAAGGUGUCUCGGCUAAAGUGUCUUGGCUAAGGUGUCUUGGCUAAGGUGUCUUGGCUAAGGUGUCUUGGCUAAGGUGUCUCGUCUAAGGUGUCUUGGCUAAGGUGUCUUGGCUAAGGUGUCUUGGCUAAUGUGUCUUGGCUAAGGUGUCUCGGCUAAAGUGUCUUGGCUAAUGUGUCUCGGCUAAAGUGUCUUGGCUAAGGUGUCUUGGCUAAUGUGUCUCGUCUAAGGUGUCUUGGCUAAGGUGUCUUGGCUAAGGUGUCUUGGCUAAGGUGUCUUGGCUAAUGUGUCUUGGCUAAGGUGUCUCGGCUAAAGUGUCUUGGCUAAUGUGUCUCGGCUAAAGUGUCUUGGCUAAGGUGUCUUGGCUAUGGUGUCUUGGCUAAGGUGUCUUGGCUAAGGUGUCUUGGCUAAUGUGUCUCGUCUAAGGUGUCUUGGCUAAGGUGUCUUGGCUAAGGUGUCUUGGCUAAGGUGUCUUGGCUAAGGUGUCUUGGCUAAUGUGUCUCGUCUAAGGUGUCUUGGCUAAGGUGUCUUGGCUAAGGUGUCUUGGCUAAGGUGUCUUGGCUAAUGUGUCUUGGCUAAGGUGUCUUGGCUAAGGUGUCUUGGCUAAGGUGUCUUGGCUAAGGUGUCUUGGCUAAUGUGUCUCGUCUAAGGUGUCUUGGCUAAGGUGUCUUGGCUAAGGUGUCUUGGCUAAGGUGUCUUGGCUAAUGUGUCUUGGCUAAGGUGUCUCGGCUAAAGUGUCUUGGCUAAUGUGUCUCGGCUAAAGUGUCUUGGCUAAGGUGUCUUGGCUAAGGUGUCUUGGCUAAGGUGUCUUGGCUAAGGUGUCUUGGCUAAUGUGUCUUGGCUAAGGUGUCUUGGCUAAGGUGUCUUGGCUAAUGUGUCUUGGCUAAGGUGUCUUGGCUAAUGUGUCUUGGCU
Anopheles funestus (African malaria mosquito) is the source of this 7697-nucleotide long non-coding RNA. RefSeq lists it as uncharacterized. NCBI's taxonomy places the organism in Eukaryota, Metazoa, Arthropoda, Insecta, Diptera, Culicidae. The transcript has 5 exons. The record is from RefSeq and is a predicted model, not a curated record.